This 500-nucleotide ribosomal RNA is filed under the name uncultured bacterium. Its description in RNAcentral is "bacterial SSU rRNA". It matches the Rfam family "Bacterial small subunit ribosomal RNA", at positions 26 to 518 of the family's 1533-position model. The record is from RNAcentral.
AGAACGAACGCUGGCGGCGCGUUUAAGCAUGCAAGUCGAGCGGCAAGGGCCUUCGGGCCCUAGAGCGGCGGACGGGUGAGUAACACGUGGACAAUCUGCCCCCGGCCCGGGAUAGCCCAGGGAAACCUGGAUUAAUACCGGAUGAGACGGGACCCGCGAUGGCGGGACCCGGGAAAGGCGCUGCGGCGCCGCCGGGGGAUGAGUCUGCGUCCCAUUAGCUAGACGGCGGGGUAACGGCCCACCGUGGCGACGAUGGGUAGCCGGCCUGAGAGGGUGGACGGCCACAUUGGAACUGAGACACGGUCCAGACUCCUACGGGAGGCAGCAGCUAAGAAUCUUCCGCAAUGGGCGAAAGCCUGACGGAGCGACGCCCGCGUGAACGAAGAAGGCCGUGAGGUUGUAAAGUUCUUUUCGGGAGGGGGAACAACCGUGGCAGGGAAUGGCCGCGGGAUGACGUGAAUCCCGGAAUAAGCCCCGGCUAACUACGUGCCAGCAGCCGC